This 241-nucleotide non-coding RNA is filed under the name Lactobacillus helveticus. RNAcentral describes it as "T-box sequence". It matches the Rfam family "T-box leader". Rfam says of the family: Uncharged tRNA acts as the effector for transcription antitermination of genes in the T-box leader family. T-boxes are found upstream of many aminoacyl-tRNA synthetase genes and some amino acid biosynthetic genes usually in Gram-positive bacteria. The anticodon of a specific tRNA base pairs to a specifier sequence within the T-box motif, and the NCCA acceptor tail of the tRNA base pairs to a conserved bulge in the T-box antiterminator hairpin. The record is from RNAcentral. Lineage: Bacteria; Bacillati; Bacillota; Bacilli; Lactobacillales; Lactobacillaceae.
ACAAACAUCUUGAAGAACUGAGUAACUAGAGCUUCUAUCUAUAAAGAGAGCUGACGUGGUGGUGAAAGUCAGCAGAUAGAAACUAGUGAAUAUGGGUUUGGAAUGAUGACUGAUGGUGAUAUUUAGCUAUCAGCGGGUUUGCAUCCGUUAACAGUGCAGGCUAUUUUUUGAUAGUCGCUGAGGCUUAACUGCGUAAGCAGUGAGUGAAUUAAAGGUGGUAACGCGAGCAUUCGUCCUUUUA